RNAcentral lists this ribosomal RNA (464 nucleotides) under uncultured Klebsiella sp. Its description in RNAcentral is "bacterial SSU rRNA". It matches the Rfam family "Bacterial small subunit ribosomal RNA", at positions 338 to 795 of the family's 1533-position model. The record is from RNAcentral. Lineage: Bacteria; Pseudomonadati; Pseudomonadota; Gammaproteobacteria; Enterobacterales; Enterobacteriaceae.
CCUACGGGCGGCAGCAGUGGGGAAUAUUGCACAAUGGGCGCAAGCCUGAUGCAGCCAUGCCGCGUGUGUGAAGAAGGCCUUCGGGUUGUAAAGCACUUUCAGCGGGGAGGAAGGCGGUGAGGUUAAUAACCUCAUCGAUUGACGUUACCCGCAGAAGAAGCACCGGCUAACUCCGUGCCAGCAGCCGCGGUAAUACGGAGGGUGCAAGCGUUAAUCGGAAUUACUGGGCGUAAAGCGCACGCAGGCGGUCUGUCAAGUCGGAUGUGAAAUCCCCGGGCUCAACCUGGGAACUGCAUUCGAAACUGGCAGGCUAGAGUCUUGUAGAGGGGGUAGAAUUCCAGGUGUAGCGGUGAAAUGCGUAGAGAUCUGGAGGAAUACCGGUGGCGAAGGCGGCCCCCUGGACAAAGACUGACGCUCGGGUGCGAAAGCGUGGGGAGCAAACAGGAUUAGAUACCCGUGUAGUC